RNAcentral lists this ribosomal RNA (694 nucleotides) under uncultured bacterium. Its description in RNAcentral is "bacterial SSU rRNA". It matches the Rfam family "Bacterial small subunit ribosomal RNA", at positions 32 to 715 of the family's 1533-position model. The record is from RNAcentral.
AACGCUAGCUACAGGCUUAACACAUGCAAGUCGCGGGGCAGCAUGAAUUUAGCUUGCUAAAUUUGAUGGCGACCGGCGCACGGGUGAGUAACGCGUAUCCAACCUUCCCCUGUCCACGGGAUAGCCCGUCGAAAGGCGGAUUAAUACCGUAUGAGGUCACACGAUGGCAUCAGACUGUGACGAAAGGUCUGGCGGACAGGGAUGGGGAUGCGUCCGAUUAGCUUGUUGGCGGGGUAACGGCCCACCAAGGCAACGAUCGGUAGGGGUUCUGAGAGGAAGGUCCCCCACAUUGGAACUGAGACACGGUCCAAACUCCUACGGGAGGCAGCAGUGAGGAAUAUUGGUCAAUGGGCGAGAGCCUGAACCAGCCAAGUAGCGUGCAGGAUGACGGCCCUAUGGGUUGUAAACUGCUUUUAUGCGGGGAUAAAGUUUGGGAUGCGUCCCAUUUUGCAGGUACCGCAUGAAUAAGGACCGGCUAAUUCCGUGCCAGCAGCCGCGGUAAUACGGAAGGUCCGGGCGUUAUCCGGAUUUAUUGGGUUUAAAGGGAGCGUAGGCCGGAGAUUAAGCGUGUUGUGAAAUGUAGACGCUCAACGUCUGCACUGCAGCGCGAACUGGUUUCCUUGAGUACGCACAAAGUGGGCGGAAUUCGUGGUGUAGCGGUGAAAUGCUUAGAUAUCACGAAGAACUCCGAUUG